RNAcentral lists this ribosomal RNA (535 nucleotides) under Exiguobacterium arabatum. Its description in RNAcentral is "bacterial SSU rRNA". It matches the Rfam family "Bacterial small subunit ribosomal RNA", at positions 394 to 920 of the family's 1533-position model. The record is from RNAcentral. Lineage: Bacteria; Bacillati; Bacillota; Bacilli; Caryophanales.
ACGCCGCGUGAACGAUGAAGGCUUUCGGGUCGUAAAGUUCUGUCGUGACGGAAGAACAAGUGCCGCAGGCAAUGGCGGCACCUUGACGGUACCUUGCGAGAAAGCCACGGCUAACUACGUGCCAGCAGCCGCGGUAAUACGUAGGUGGCAAGCGUUGUCCGGAAUUAUUGGGCGUAAAGCGCGCGCAGGCGGCCUCUUAAGUCUGAUGUGAAAGCCCCCGGCUCAACCGGGGAGGGCCAUUGGAAACUGGGAGGCUUGAGUAUAGGAGAGAAGAGUGGAAUUCCACGUGUAGCGGUGAAAUGCGUAGAGAUGUGGAGGAACACCAGUGGCGAAGGCGACUCUUUGGCCUAUAACUGACGCUGAGGCGCGAAAGCGUGGGGAGCAAACAGGAUUAGAUACCCUGGUAGUCCACGUCGUAAACGAUGAGUGCUAGGUGUUGGAGGGUUUCCGCCCUUCAGUGCUGAAGCUAACGCAUUAAGCACUCCGCCUGGGGAGUACGGUCGCAAGGCUGAAACUCAAAUGAUUUGACGGGGAC